Molecule: long non-coding RNA, 223 nt
Filed under: Solanum tuberosum (potato)
Lineage: Eukaryota; Viridiplantae; Streptophyta; Magnoliopsida; Solanales; Solanaceae
Description: long non-coding RNA (STUB_LNC011731)
Source: RNAcentral
AAGGAGUCGACACUCGAAGAUGACAAGAAAUUCAAGAACGAAGGUCCUUCCAUUGAAGCAUAGUUUAAGAUUGUACCCCUGCGCGGGACUGAUUAUUUUGUAUCCCAUUUUCCCUACUAUGUAUCCCCAUUCAUUUUAUUUACAAAGCAUGUAUAAAUUUAAGUUUUAGGGGCACUGAAAUGUUACAAAUGACGUAUACAUCCCUCAAAUCAUUAGGCCUACC